GUGGGGAAUCUUGCGCAAUGGGCGAAAGCCUGACGCAGCCAUGCCGCGUGAAUGAUGAAGGUCUUAGGAUUGUAAAAUUCUUUCACCGGGGACGAUAAUGACGGUACCCGGAGAAGAAGCUCCGGCUAACUUCGUGCCAGCAGCCGCGGUAAUACGAAGGGGGCUAGCGUUGCUCGGAAUUACUGGGCGUAAAGGGCGCGUAGGCGGACAGCUUAGUCAGAGGUGAAAGCCCAGGGCUCAACCUUGGAAUUGCCUUUGAUACUGGCUGUCUUGAGUACGGGAGAGGUGAGUGGAACUCCGAGUGUAGAGGUGAAAUUCGUAGAUAUUCGGAAGAACACCAGUGGCGAAGGCGACUCACUGGCCCGUUACUGACGCUGAGGCGCGAAAGCGUGGGGAGCAAACAGGAUUAGAAACCCGUGUAGUCC
Molecule: ribosomal RNA, 425 nt
Filed under: uncultured bacterium
Lineage: Bacteria
Description: partial 16S ribosomal RNA
Rfam family: Bacterial small subunit ribosomal RNA
Source: RNAcentral